RNAcentral lists this microRNA (22 nucleotides) under Oreochromis niloticus (Nile tilapia). RNAcentral describes it as "oni-miR-10658". The record is from miRBase by way of RNAcentral. Lineage: Eukaryota; Metazoa; Chordata; Actinopteri; Cichliformes; Cichlidae.
AUGAGAAUGCUGACAGGGAGCU